UACGGGGGGAGCAAGCGUUGUUCGGAUUUACUGGGCGUAAAGGGCGCGUAGGCGGCGUGACAAGUCACUUGUGAAAUCUCCGGGCUUAACCCGGAGCGGCCAAGUGAUACUGUCGUGCUAGAGUGCGGAAGGGGCUACUGGAAUUCCCGGUGUAGUGGUGAAAUGCGUAGAUAUCGGGAGGAACACCAGAGGCGAAGGCGGCUCGCUGGCCCUGACCUGACGCUGAGGCGCGAAGGCGUGGGGAGCGAACGGG
RNAcentral lists this ribosomal RNA (253 nucleotides) under uncultured bacterium. RNAcentral's name for it is "partial 16S ribosomal RNA". It matches the Rfam family "Bacterial small subunit ribosomal RNA", at positions 524 to 776 of the family's 1533-position model. The record is from RNAcentral.